RNAcentral lists this ribosomal RNA (208 nucleotides) under uncultured bacterium. RNAcentral's name for it is "partial 16S ribosomal RNA". It matches the Rfam family "Bacterial small subunit ribosomal RNA", at positions 524 to 729 of the family's 1533-position model. The record is from RNAcentral.
UACGUAGGGGGCGAGCGUUGUCCGGAUUUAUUGGGCGUAAAAGGCUUGUAGGUGGCCACGCGAAGUCGGAUGUGAAAUCUCCCGGCUCAACUGGGAGGGGUCAUUCGAUACUGGCGGGCUCGAGGCCGGUAGGGGGAAGCGGAAUUCCCGGUGUAGUGGUGGAAUGGCGUAGAUAUCGGGAGGAACACCAGUGGCGAAGGCGGCUUCC